AACGAACGCUGGCGGCAUGCCUAACACAUGCAAGUCGAACGAGACCUUCGGGUCUAGUGGCGCACGGGUGCGUAACGCGUGGGAACCUGCCCUUAGGUUCGGAAUAACUCCCCGAAAGGGGUGCUAAUACCGGAUAAUGUCUUCGGACCAAAGAUUUAUCGACUUUGGAUGGGCCCGCGUUGGAUUAGCUAGUUGGUAGGGUAAAAGCCUACCAAGGCGACGAUCCAUAGCUGGUCUGAGAGGAUGAUCAGCCACACUGGGACUGAGACACGGCCCAGACUCCUACGGGAGGCAGCAGUGGGGAAUAUUGGACUACGGGCGAAAGCAUGAUCCAGCAAGGCCGGGUGAGUGAUGAAGGCCUUAGGGUUGUAAAGCUCUUUUACCCGGGAUGAUAAUGACAGUACCGGGAGAAUAAGCUCCGGCUAACUCCGUG
Molecule: ribosomal RNA, 433 nt
Filed under: uncultured bacterium
Lineage: Bacteria
Description: partial 16S ribosomal RNA
Rfam family: Bacterial small subunit ribosomal RNA
Source: RNAcentral